UACAGAGGUCCCAAGCGUUGUUCGGAUUCACUGGGCGUAAGGGGUGCGUAGGUGGUGGGGUAAGUCGGAUGUGAAAGCUCGGAGCUCAACUCCGAAAUGGCAUUGGAAACUACCCUGCUAGAGGAUUGGAGGGGGGACUGGAAUACUUGGUGUAGCAGUGAAAUGCGUAGAUAUCAAGUGGAACACCAGUGGCGAAGGCGAGUCCCUGGACAAUUCCUGACACUGAGGCACGAAAGCUAGGGGAGCAAACAGG
This 253-nucleotide ribosomal RNA is filed under the name uncultured bacterium. Its description in RNAcentral is "partial 16S ribosomal RNA". It matches the Rfam family "Bacterial small subunit ribosomal RNA", at positions 524 to 776 of the family's 1533-position model. The record is from RNAcentral.